AACGAACGCUGGCGGCAUGCCUAACACAUGCGAGUCGAACGAGACCUUCGGGUCUAGUGGCGCACGGGUGCGUAACGCGUGGGAAUCUGCCCUUGGGUUCGGAAUAACAGUUGGAAACGACUGCUAAUACCGGAUGAUGACGUAAGUCCAAAGAUUUAUCGCCCAGGGAUGAGCCCGCGUAGGAUUAGCUAGUUGGUGGGGUAAAGGCCUACCAAGGCGACGAUCCUUAGCUGGUCUGAGAGGAUGAUCAGCCACACUGGGACUGAGACACGGCCCAGACUCCUACGGGAGGCAGCAGUGGGGAAUAUUGGACAAUGGGCGAAAGCCUGAUCCAGCAAUGCCGCGUGAGUGAUGAAGGCCUUAGGGUUGUAAAGCUCUUUUACCCGGGAUGAUAAUGACAGUACCGGGAGAAUAAGCCCCGGCUAACUCCGUG
This 433-nucleotide ribosomal RNA is filed under the name uncultured bacterium. Its description in RNAcentral is "partial 16S ribosomal RNA". It matches the Rfam family "Bacterial small subunit ribosomal RNA", at positions 29 to 507 of the family's 1533-position model. The record is from RNAcentral.